AUAAUGGGUCAGCGACUUAUAUUCUGUAGCAAGGUUAACCGAAUAGGGGAGCCGAAGGGAAACCGAGUCUUAACUGGGCGUUAAGUUGCAGGGUAUAGACCCGAAACCCGGUGAUCUAGCCAUGGGCAGGUUGAAGGUUGGGUAACACUAACUGGAGGACCGAACCGACUAAUGUUGAAAAAUUAGCGGAUGACUUGUGGCUGGGGGUGAAAGGCCAAUCAAACCGGGAGAUAGCUGGUUCUCCCCGAAAGCUAUUUAGGUAGCGCCUCGUGAAUUCAUCUCCGGGGGUAGAGCACUGUUUCGGCAAGGGGGUCAUCCCGACUUACCAACCCGAUGCAAACUGCGAAUACCGGAGAAUGUUAUCACGGGAGACACACGGCGGGUGCUAACGUCCGUCGUGAAGAGGGAAACAACCCAGACCGCCAGCUAAGGUCCCAAAGUCAUGGUUAAGUGGGAAACGAUGUGGGAAGGCCCAGACAGCCAGGAUGUUGGCUUAGAAGCAGCCAUCAUUUAAAGAAAGCGUAAUAGCUCACUGGUCGAGUCGGCCUGCGCGGAAGAUGUAACGGGGCUAAACCAUGCACCGAAGCUGCGGCAGCGACGCUGAUGCGUUGUUGGGUAGGGGAGCGUUCUGUAAGCCUGUGAAGGUGUGCUGUGAGGCAUGCUGGAGGUAUCAGAAGUGCGAAUGCUGACAUAAGUAACGAUAAAGCGGGUGAAAAGCCCGCUCGCCGGAAGACCAAGGGUUCCUGUCCAACGUUAAUCGGGGCAGGGUGAGUCGACCCCUAAGGCGAGGCCGAAAGGCGUAGUCGAUGGGAAACAGGUUAAUAUUCCUGUACUUGGUGUUACUGCGAAGGGGGGACGGAGAAGGCUAUGUUGGCCGGGCGACGGUUGUCCCGGUUUAAGCGUGUAGGCUGGUUUUCCAGGCAAAUCCGGAAAAUCAAGGCUGAGG
RNAcentral lists this ribosomal RNA (946 nucleotides) under Escherichia coli. RNAcentral's name for it is "partial 23S ribosomal RNA". It matches the Rfam family "Bacterial large subunit ribosomal RNA", at positions 612 to 1561 of the family's 2925-position model. Lineage: Bacteria; Pseudomonadati; Pseudomonadota; Gammaproteobacteria; Enterobacterales; Enterobacteriaceae. The record is from RNAcentral.